Long non-coding RNA from Corvus hawaiiensis (hawaiian crow), 660 nucleotides. RefSeq lists it as uncharacterized. The transcript is spliced from 5 exons. The record is from RefSeq and is a predicted model, not a curated record. NCBI's taxonomy places the organism in Eukaryota, Metazoa, Chordata, Aves, Passeriformes, Corvidae.
UUUCUUUCAGAUGCAGACGGAUUAAAUCCGUGGCGGAGGACCCCACACCGGAUGAGGGGGUUCCUGCAGGAAGGAGGUAAAGCCAGAUCUCAGCAGUCAAGGUCAAGUGAGUGAGGCGGUCCACUUGUAUUGUGCUGAACCCCCUCAGCGACUGGCUGACGGACCUGGCUCGCUGCCCUCGUGAGCCCUCCCCAGGUGUACCUUGCGACGGCGGUGUCGGCCUCGAAGCGCGGCCGAAGCGUGUGGCCUGAGAACCCCUGCCAUCUUAGGAGAUGCCACCCAAGAGACAACAGCCUGAUGACAGCAGGAGCUUCCCGGAUGGCGAGGCGGCCUUCUUUUGCACCCGAGGAGGAUUCGCAGCCCCGGGCUUCUGAGAGAUAAGUUGAGGGCUAAGACCCACAGAGGGUAUGAAAGCCAGGUGUCGGGUCGGGACUCACCGGGAGGGAUUUUUGAGCCGGCUUUGGAGACGGGAAUACCCAAGAAGGGGUCCCUUAGCCCACAUAAAGGGAAGUAUCACUUUUGAUCACAAUUGCACAGGGCAGAGCAAUCCCAGUGCAUGUCGUGUCACCUGUCUAUUGUUAUGUUCUUUUGGGCAUCUUGUCUCUUCUGCCUUAGCCCUUCGAUGUGCUUGCAGUUGUUCUUUUCACAGAGAGUUUUCUC